RNAcentral lists this unclassified non-coding RNA (20 nucleotides) under Mus musculus (house mouse). Its description in RNAcentral is "oocyte_clustered_small_RNA941". The record is from RNAcentral. Lineage: Eukaryota; Metazoa; Chordata; Mammalia; Rodentia; Muridae.
GGCACACAGGUGAUUGAGGU